This 888-nucleotide ribosomal RNA is filed under the name Triticum aestivum (bread wheat). RNAcentral describes it as "partial small subunit ribosomal RNA". The record is from RNAcentral. Lineage: Eukaryota; Viridiplantae; Streptophyta; Magnoliopsida; Poales; Poaceae.
CCAUGGUCUGGACUACCCAUUAGAGUCUCGAAGGAAUCGAUGGCAGUGUUUCACGCAGCGGCUAGAGCUGUGGUUGGCAAUGGGAAGGAAACAUUGUUCUGGGAGGAUCGUUGGCUGCAGGGAUUUCGCAUCUAUGAGCUUGCACCGUUGGUGUAUGGCAGGGUUCCCAAACGGGUAAGGCUGGUGCGCACAGUCUCGGCAGCCAUGGAGGAUGCAUCAUGGGCAGGAGACAUUGGGCCCGACAUCACUGAGGCCGAGCUGCAGCAGUUUCUGCUCCUCUGGUCGCGAGUAGAGAAUGUGCAACUGGAUAUGGGCACGACGGACUUUGUUGCCUGGGCAUGGGAAAAGGAAGGCAUGUUCUCGGCGCGCUCGGCGUACGUGGCAAGGUUUGCGGGACUUGAGGUGGCGCCUACGGCUGCAUUCACAUGGGGAUCGAGAGCACCUCUGACUUGCCGAUUCUUUGUGUGGCUUGCUCUCGAGAAUCGGUGCUGGACUUCUAACAGACUCGCCAAGCGUGGACUACCUCAUCAGGAUGCGUGCCCUUUUUGCGAUCAACAAGAGGAAACUAUGGAUCAUCUCAUGGUGCAUUGUGCCUUCUCAAAGGAAGUGUGGCAUUGGAUGAGCGUGGCCACUAAUCAUCCGGAGCUGGAGCCUCGCGAUGACGACAAUCUCGGCUCAUGGUGCUUAAGGCAAGAGCAGCGACGAGACCAACGGCGGACCAUGAGAGCCUUGUGCUUACUGGGCAUGUGGGUGAUAUGGACGCACAGAAACGAUAUCGUUUUUAACGGUGCAAGCCCCUCCACAGUGCAAGUGCUCGGACGGAUUGAGAGGGAAGGAAGGGCAUGGAGGCAAGCAGGGCUUUUGAAAGGGGACUUGGAUGGAGUGUUU